AUUGAACGCUGGCGGCAGGCCUAACACAUGCAAGUCGAACGGUAGCACAGAGAGCUUGCUCUCGGGUGACGAGUGGCGGACGGGUGAGUAAUGUCUGGGAAACUGCCCGAUGGAGGGGGAUAACUACUGGAAACGGUAGCUAAUACCGCAUAACGUCGCAAGACCAAAGUGGGGGACCUUCGGGCCUCACACCAUCGGAUGUGCCCAGAUGGGAUUAGCUAGUAGGUGGGGUAAUGGCUCACCUAGGCGACGAUCCCUAGCUGGUCUGAGAGGAUGACCAGCCACACUGGAACUGAGACACGGUCCAGACUCCUACGGGAGGCAGCAGUGGGGAAUAUUGCACAAUGGGCGCAAGCCUGAUGCAGCCAUGCCGCGUGUAUGAAGAAGGCCUUCGGGUUGUAAAGUACUUUCAGCGGGGAGGAAGGCGGUGAAGUUAAUAGCUUCACCGAUUGACGUUACCCGCAGAAGAAGCACCGACUAACUCCGUGCCAGCCGCCGCCGCAG
RNAcentral lists this ribosomal RNA (504 nucleotides) under uncultured bacterium. RNAcentral's name for it is "partial 16S ribosomal RNA". It matches the Rfam family "Bacterial small subunit ribosomal RNA", at positions 30 to 523 of the family's 1533-position model. The record is from RNAcentral.